AGCUUUAUAGUUUAAUAAAAACAUAAAUUUUGUAAAUUUAAAUUAAAUAUAUAAAUUUUUAAGCUU
This 66-nucleotide transfer RNA is filed under the name Parapolybia flava. RNAcentral's name for it is "tRNA-Thr". The record is from RNAcentral. Lineage: Eukaryota; Metazoa; Arthropoda; Insecta; Hymenoptera; Vespidae. RNAcentral also lists the same sequence under 1 other name.